UUCUAAAAAAUCAUUAAAGAUGGCGGUAUUUUAGUCUAUUCAGAGGAAUCUGCCCUGUAAUUGAUAAUCCACGAUUUAAAUUACUUGAGGUUUUAGCUUAUAUAUCGCUGUGGUUUGAAUAUUUUUACUAAAAUUUAAUAUUCAAUAUUUCUAAUGAAGGGAUAUCAAGUCAAGAUAUAGCCUAUACUUAAGGAGAGGUGGAUUACAUUAAUGGUAUUGUUGGUUAAGGUGUUGAAAAAUUCCUUAUAAAAUGGAUUUGAAGGUAAUUUUUUAUUAAAAUUUAAAACGUGAUUAAAGCUCUAAAAUAUGUACAUAUCGCCCGUCGCUUUCAUUAUAAGGUGGAAUAAGUCGUAACAUAGUAGGUGUACUGGAAAGUGUCUCUAGAAGACCAAAUUAAAGCUUUUCAGAAGCGUUUUAUUUACACUAAAGAGAUUAUUUUAAUAGAUGUAGUUUGAAUGAUUAUUUGUCUAUUAAAUUUAAUAAGGAAUUUUUGUUUAUAAAAAUGUUUUGAUUUUUAGUAUAUAGUCAGAAAAAAUGCUUUUUGAGAUAGCGAAUUAGUAUUGUAAAAGAAAAUUUAUUUUAUUGGAAAAGAAGAAUUCAGUUUUGUACCUGGGUUAUCAGGGUUUAUUAAAUAGGGAUUAUUAUAUUAAUUUUCUCGAAUUUGAAAGAGCUAUUUGAUUAGAAUUAUUUAUUGUGGCAAUAAUAUUAUGAAUAAUCAAAAUAGAGGUGAAAUGCUAAUCGUUUUCAAAUAUAUCUAGUUUAUUAAGAAAUAAAUUUAAUUUAGUAUAGCUUUAGUACUAUUUUUACUAUUAAAAUAGUACUAGGCUAUUGAUAGAAUUUAAGGGUUGAGCUUUAAAUUCUAUUAAUAGAGCAAUUUUAAUUGGAUUAUUAAAUGAUUAGGAUUUAGAGUUUCUUUAUGAAUGAGUUAUAUCUCGGUUAAUUAUUAGAUACGAUUUUCUAUAUUUGCUUAUAUUUUUUAUUAAUAUUUAGCUUUUAACAAUUAAAAUUUAGUAAAAAUGAUAAAAUUAGUAUAAUUAGGUUUAAUUUGUAAAAAAUUUUAUAGGUUUUGUUAAGGAAUUCGGCAAUGCUAUUUCCCACCUGUUUAUUAAAAACAUGUCUUUUUGAGUAUAAUUUAAGGUCUGACCUGCCCAAUGAGGAUUUAAAUGGCCGCGGUAUAUUGACCGUGCAAAGGUAGCAUAAUCAUUAGUUUUUUAAUUGAAAGCUGGAAUGAAGGGUUUGAUGAGGAAAUGACUGUCUCAAUGAAAAUUACUUAGAAUUUUAUUAUUUUGUUAAAAGGCAAAAAUGUUAAUAAAAGACGAGAAGACCCUAUAGAGUUUUAUAAUUUUAUUGAAAAAAUAUAAUUAGUAUAGGA
RNAcentral lists this ribosomal RNA (1372 nucleotides) under Cnestus solidus. RNAcentral's name for it is "partial 16S ribosomal RNA". Lineage: Eukaryota; Metazoa; Arthropoda; Insecta; Coleoptera; Curculionidae. The record is from RNAcentral.